UCCAGUUUAUCACUGGCAGUCUCUCUAAAGUUCUCAGCAUUACCUGUUAGCAACUAAAGAUAGGGGUUGCGCCCGUUAAAGGACUUAACCCAACAUCUCACGACACGAGCUGACGACAGCCAUGCACCACCUGUGCGAAGUCCGGCCGAACCGAAGGUCUGAUCUCUCAAACUUGCGACUUCCAUGUCAAGAGCUGGUAAGGUUUUUCGCGGAUUAUCGAAUUAAACCACAUGCUCCACCGCUUGUGCGGGUCCCCGUCAAUUCCUUUGAGUUUUAGUCUUGCGACCGUACUCCCCAGGCGGAUUGCUUAACGCGUUAGCUUCAACACUGAGAACUAUUCAUUCCCAACGUUUAGCAAUCAUCGUUUAGGGCGUGGACUAC
RNAcentral lists this unclassified non-coding RNA (381 nucleotides) under uncultured Alphaproteobacteria bacterium. Its description in RNAcentral is "contains 16S-23S intergenic spacer region". Lineage: Bacteria; Pseudomonadati; Pseudomonadota; Alphaproteobacteria. The record is from RNAcentral.